This 253-nucleotide ribosomal RNA is filed under the name uncultured bacterium. RNAcentral describes it as "partial 16S ribosomal RNA". It matches the Rfam family "Bacterial small subunit ribosomal RNA", at positions 524 to 776 of the family's 1533-position model. The record is from RNAcentral.
UACAGAGGGGGCAAGCGUUGUUCGGAAUUACUGGGCGUAAAGGGCGCGUAGGCGGCCUGCUAAGUCGAACGUGAAAUCCCCGGGCUCAACCCGGGAACUGCGUCCGAGACUGGCAGGCUCGAAUCCGGGAGAGGGAUGUGGAAUUCCAGGUGUAGCGGUGAAAUGCGUAGAUAUCUGGAGGAACAUCGGUGGCGAAGGCGGCAUCCUGGACCGGUAUUGACGCUGAGGCGCGAAAGCCAGGGGAGCGAACGGG